CCUACGGGAGGCAGCAGUGGGGAAUAUUGGGCAAUGGGCGCAAGCCUGACCCAGCAACGCCGCGUGAAGGAAGAAGGCUUUCGGGUUGGAAACUUCUUUUCUCAGGGGCGCAGAAAGUGACGGUACCUGAGGAAUAAGCCACGGCUAACAACGUGCCAGCAGCCGCGGUAAUCCGGAGGCGGCAGGCGUUAUCCGGAUUUGUUGGGUGUAAAGGGCGUGUAGGCGGGAGCGGAAGUCAGAUGUGAAAACUCAGGGCUCAACCCUGAGCCUGCAUUUGAAACUGUGUUUCUUGAGUGCUGGAGAGGCAAUCGGAAUGCGGGGUGUAGCGGUGAAAUGCGUAGAUAUACGGAGGAACACCAGUGGCGAAGGCGGAGUGCCGGACAGUAACUGACGCUGAGGCGCGAAAGCGUGGGGAGCAAACAGGAUUAGAUACCCCAGUAGUC
Molecule: ribosomal RNA, 443 nt
Filed under: uncultured bacterium
Lineage: Bacteria
Description: partial 16S ribosomal RNA
Rfam family: Bacterial small subunit ribosomal RNA
Source: RNAcentral